UACGUAGGUGGCAAGCGUUGUCCGGAAUUAUUGGGCGUAAAGAGUGCGUAGGCGGUCUAUUAAGUCUCAUUUGAAAGCCCAUGGCUUAACCAUGGAGGGUGAUGGGAAACUGAUAGACUUGAGUAAAGGAGAGGAAGGUGGAAUUCCACGUGUAGCGGUGAAAUGCGUAGAGAUGUGGAGGAACACCAGUGGCGAAGGCGGCCUUCUGGCCUUUGUCUGACGCUGAGGCACGAAAGCGUGGGUAGCAAACAGG
RNAcentral lists this ribosomal RNA (253 nucleotides) under uncultured bacterium. RNAcentral describes it as "partial 16S ribosomal RNA". It matches the Rfam family "Bacterial small subunit ribosomal RNA", at positions 524 to 776 of the family's 1533-position model. The record is from RNAcentral.